Molecule: ribosomal RNA, 254 nt
Filed under: uncultured bacterium
Lineage: Bacteria
Description: partial 16S ribosomal RNA
Rfam family: Bacterial small subunit ribosomal RNA
Source: RNAcentral
UACGUAGGGUCCAAGCGUUAUCCGGAAUCACUGGGCGUAAAGCGUGCGUAGGUGGCGUGUUAAAUGUGAUGUUAAAUCGUGUGGCUCAACCAUAUCGAUGUGUCGCAUACUGGCAUGCUAGAGGGAAGCAGAGGCAAGUGGAAUUUGUAGUGUAGCAGUGAAAUGCGUAGAUAUUACAAGGAACACCAAUGGCGAAGGCAGCUUGCUGGGCUUCUUCUGACACUGAGGUACGAAAGCGUGGGGGAGCGAACAGG